CCAACGAUCUUCCGGGCCUCCUGGUAGAGGGUGUUGGGACUCCAGUGCGGGUUGAGGUCAUGUAGCUCUUUGACCAGACGGACCACAACCUCCUGAGACACGAGUCGGACCUGCGCAGACCACCAAGGUGAGCGGUAAGAGAGGGCAAGCAAACCUGCUGUCAAUAGGAGACAGUGGUGGCGGUGGGUUGCUCCACGGGUUUUACAGGUGGCAGGCUGAAGUUGUG
Molecule: long non-coding RNA, 226 nt
Organism: Hippocampus comes (tiger tail seahorse)
Lineage: Eukaryota; Metazoa; Chordata; Actinopteri; Syngnathiformes; Syngnathidae
Exons: 3
Source: RefSeq, a predicted model, not a curated record